UUAUACAGAAGAGAAUUUCAGUUUUAAAGUAUGUUCCAUAUGGAACAUCUGGUGUGCUGACACUUGAUAGAAGUGCAUAAGAUGAUUGACCAACUCCAGGUACAACCUUCAGAUAUGUCUGUUCUUCUGUUGCUUUGACAGCUUUGAUUAACUUACUUGCUGCCUUUAUGUAUGUGACUUCUCUUGUCAUCUUACCGUCUGUACCAACAACCCAGGGUGCUUGUUCAAGGGCAGUAGUCCCCUGACUCUCGGCCAAAGACGGCAAGUAAUCCGAAUCUGGUGAGAACAGAUAGGUGUUCAAAGCAGCUGUUGAGG
Molecule: long non-coding RNA, 315 nt
Filed under: Zostera marina
Lineage: Eukaryota; Viridiplantae; Streptophyta; Magnoliopsida; Alismatales; Zosteraceae
Description: long non-coding RNA (ZMAR_LNC000877)
Source: RNAcentral